GUGUCAGCAGCCGCGGUAACACCGGCAGUUCGAGUGAUGACCGAUAUUAUUGGGCCUAAAGCGUCCGUAGCUGGCUGUGCAAGUCUGUUGGGAAAUCUGCUCGCCCAACGAGCAGGCGUCCGGCAGAAACUGCGCAGCUUGGGACCGAGCGAUCCGAGGGGUACGUCUGGGGUAGGAGUGAAAUCCCGUAAUCCUGGACGGACCACCGAUGGCGAAAGCACCUCGGAAGAUCGGAUCCGACAGUGAGGGACGAAAGCUGGGGUCACGAACCGGAUUAGAAACCCCUGUAGUGC
This 293-nucleotide ribosomal RNA is filed under the name uncultured prokaryote. Its description in RNAcentral is "partial 16S ribosomal RNA". It matches the Rfam family "Archaeal small subunit ribosomal RNA", at positions 455 to 747 of the family's 1478-position model. The record is from RNAcentral.